Molecule: ribosomal RNA, 484 nt
Filed under: uncultured bacterium
Lineage: Bacteria
Description: partial 16S ribosomal RNA
Rfam family: Bacterial small subunit ribosomal RNA
Source: RNAcentral
AUUGAACGCUGGCGGCAGGCCUAACACAUGCAAGUCGAGCGGAGGAAGGGAGCUUGCUCCUGGAUUCAGCGGCGGACGGGUGAGUAAUGCCUAGGAAUCUGCCUGGUAGUGGGGGAUAACGUCCGGAAACGGGCGCUAAUACCGCAUACGUCCUGAGGGAGAAAGUGGGGGAUCUUCGGACCUCACGCUAUCAGAUGAGCCUAGGUCGGAUUAGCUAGUUGGUGGGGUAAAGGCCUACCAAGGCGACGAUCCGUAACUGGUCUGAGAGGAUGAUCAGUCACACUGGAACUGGGACACGGUCCAGACUCCUACGGGAGGCAGCAGUGGGGAAUAUUGGACAAUGGGCGAAAGCCUGAUCCAGCCAUGCCGCGUGUGUGAAGAAGGUCUUCGGAUUGUAAAGCACGUUAAGUUGGGAGGAAGGGCUGUAAGUUAAUACCUUGCUGUUUUGACGUUACCAACAGAAUAAGCACCGGCUAACUUCGUG